GACGAACCGUGCGAACGUUGUUCGGACUAACUGGGCUUAAAGGGUGCGUAGGCGGGUCCGCCAGUCUGUGGUGAAAUCCUCCCGCUCAACGGGAGAACUGCCGUGGAUACUGCGGACCUCGAGGAAGAUAGGGGCGUGCGGAACAGUUGGUGGAGCGGUGAAAUGCGUUGAUAUCAACUGGAACUCCGGUGGCGAAGGCGGCACGCUGGGUCUUUUCUGACGCUGAGGCACGAAAGCUAGGGGAGCAAACGGG
This 253-nucleotide ribosomal RNA is filed under the name uncultured bacterium. Its description in RNAcentral is "partial 16S ribosomal RNA". It matches the Rfam family "Bacterial small subunit ribosomal RNA", at positions 524 to 776 of the family's 1533-position model. The record is from RNAcentral.